Molecule: long non-coding RNA, 2274 nt
Organism: Anopheles funestus (African malaria mosquito)
Lineage: Eukaryota; Metazoa; Arthropoda; Insecta; Diptera; Culicidae
Exons: 3
Source: RefSeq, a predicted model, not a curated record
AGGUGUCUUGGCUAAGGUGUCUUGGCUAAUGUGUCUUGUCUAAUGUGUCUUGGCUAAUGUGUCUUGGCUAAGGUGUCUUGGCUAAGGUGUCUUGGCUAAUGUGUCUUGGCUAAUGUGUCUUGGCUAAUGUGUCUUGGCUAAGGUGUCUUGGCUAAUGUGUCUUGGCUAAGGUGUCUCGGCUAAGGUGUCUUGGCUAAUGUGUCUUGGCUAAGGUGUCUUGGCUAAUGUGUCUUGGCUAAUGUGUCUUGGCUAAGGUGUCUUGGCUAAGGUGUCUUGGCUAAGGUGUCUUGGCUAAUGUGUCUUGGCUAAUGUGUCUUGCCUAAGGUGUCUUGGCUAAGGUGUCUUGGCUAAGGUGUCUUGGCUAAGGUGUCUUGGCUAAAGUGUCUUGGCUAAUGAGUCUUGGCUAAUGUGUCUUGGCUAAGGUGUCUUGGCUAAUGUGUCUUGGCUAAUGUGUCUUGGCUAAGGUGUCUUGGCUAAUGUGUCUUGGCUAAUGUGUCUUGGCUAAUGUGUCUUGGCUAACGUGUCUUGGCUAAUGUGUCUUGGCUAAGGUGUCUUGGCUAAGGUGUCUUGGCUAAUGUGUCUCGGCUAAGGUGUCUUGGCUAAUGUGUCUUGGCUAAGGUGUCUUGGCUAAGGUGUCAUGGCUAAGGUGUCUCGGCUAAUGUGUCUUGGCUAAUGUGUAUUGGCUAAGGUGUCUUGGCUAAGGUGUCUUGGCUAAGGUGUCUUGGCUAAUGUGUCUUGGCUAAGGUGUCUUGGCUAAUGUGUCUUGGCUAAGGUGUCUUGGCUAAGGUGUCUUGGCUAAGGUGUCUCGGCUAAUGUGUCUUGGCUAAUGUGUCUUGGCUAAUGUGUCUUGGCUAAGGUGUCUUGGCUAAGGUGUCUUGGCUAAUGUGUCUUGGCUAACGUGUCUUGGCUAAUGUGUCUUGGCUAAGGUGUCUUGGCUAAGGUGUCUUGGCUAAUGUGUCUCGGCUAAUGUGUCUUGUCUAAUGUGUCUUGGCUAAGGUGUCUUGGCUAAGGUGUCUUGGCUAAGGUGUCUCGGCUAAUGUGUCUUGGCUAAUGUGUCUUGGCUUAGGUGUCUUGGCUAAGGUGUCUUGGCUAAGGUGUCUUUUCUAAUGUGUCUUGGCUAAUUUGUCUUGGCUAAUGUGUCUUGGCUAAUGUGUCUUGGCUAAGGUGUCUUGGCUUAUGUGUCUUGGCUAAUGUGUCUCGGCUAAGGUGUCUUGGCUAAUGUGUCUUGGAUAAUGUGUCUUGGCUAAUGUGUCUUGGCUAAGGUGUCUUGGCUAAUGUGUCUCGGCUAAUGUGUCUUGGCUAAUGUGUCUUGGCUAAGGUGUCUUGGCUAAGGUGUCUUGGCUAAGGUGUCUCGGCUAAUGUGUCUUGGCUAAGGUGUCUUGGCUAAGGUGUCUUGGCUAAGGUGUCUUGGCUAAUGUGUCUUGGCUAAGGUGUCUUGGCUAAGGUGUCUUGGCUAAGGUGUCUUGGCUAAUGUGUCUUGGCUAAUGUGUCUUGGCUAAGGUGUCUUGGCUAAGGUGUCUUGGCUAAGGUGUUUCGGCUAAUGUGUCUUGGCUAAUGUGUCUUGGCUAAGGUGUCUUGGCUAAGGUGUCUUGGCUAAUGUGUCUUGGCUAAUGUGUCUUGGCUAAUGUGUCUUGGCUGAAGUGUCUUGGCUAAGGUGUCUUGGCUAAGGUGUCUUGGCUAAGGUGUCUUGGCUAAUGUGUCUCGGAUAAUGUGUCUUGGCUAAGGUGUCUUGGCUAAUGUGUCUUGGCUAAGGUGUCUUGGCUAAUGUGUCUUGGCUAAGGUGUCUUGGCUAAGGUGUCUUGGCUAAUGUGUCUUGGCUAAGGUGUCUUGGCUAAUGUGUCUUGGCUAAGGUGUCUUGGCUAAUGUGUCUUGGCUAAUGUGUCUUGGCUAAGGUGUCUUGGCUAAGGUGUCUUGGCUAAGGUGUCUCGGCCAAUGUGUCUUGGCUAAUGUGUCUUGGCUAAGGUGUCUUGGCUAAGGUGUCUUGGAUAAUGUGUCUUGGCUAAUGUGUCUUGGCUAAUAUGUCUUGGCUAAUGUGUCUUGGCUAAUGUGUCUUGGCUAAGGUGUCUUGGCUAAUGUGUCUUGGCUAAGGUGUCUUGGCUAAGGUGUCUUGGCUAAUGUGUCUUGGCUAAUGUGUCUUGGCUAAUGUGUCUUGGCUAAGGUGUCUUGGCUAAUGUGUCUUGGCUAAUGUGUCUCGGCUAAGGUGUCUUGGCUAAUGUGUCUUAGCUAAUGUGUCUUGGCUAAGGUGUCUUGGCUAAUGUGUCUUGGCUAAUGUGU